This 168-nucleotide small nuclear RNA is filed under the name Myotis davidii. RNAcentral's name for it is "U2 spliceosomal RNA". It matches the Rfam family "U2 spliceosomal RNA". From Rfam's summary of the family: U2 is a small nuclear RNA (snRNA) component of the spliceosome (involved in pre-mRNA splicing). Complementary binding between U2 snRNA (in an area lying towards the 5' end but 3' to hairpin I) and the branchpoint sequence (BPS) of the intron results the bulging out of an unpaired adenosine, on the BPS, which initiates a nucleophilic attack at the intronic 5' splice site, thus starting the first of two transesterification reactions that mediate splicing. The record is from Rfam by way of RNAcentral. Lineage: Eukaryota; Metazoa; Chordata; Mammalia; Chiroptera; Vespertilionidae.
AUCGCUUCUCGGCCUUUUGGCUAAGAUCAAGUGUUGUAUUUAUGGCCCUUGUGCAUUUAACCACUGAGGAUCUUAGUAAGUUUUUAAAAGUAAAAUAUACUGAAAGUAUCUAUCAUAGCUUAUAUUUGAACUUUUUAUUUUGGCCCUUUUUAGGUGAAAGAACAUUUU